GACGAACGCUGGCGGCGUGCUUAACACAUGCAAGUCGAACGGAAAGGCCCUGCUUUUGUGGGAUGCUCGAGUGGCGAACGGGUGAGUAACACGUGAGUAACCUGCCCUUGACUUUGGGAUAACUUCAGGAAACUGGGGCUAAUACCGGAUAUGAGCUCCUGCUGCAUGGUGGGGGUUGGAAAGUUUCGGCGUUUGGGGAUGGACUCGCGGCUUAUCAGCUUGUUGGUGGGGUAGUGGCUUACCAAGGCUUUGACGGGUAGCCGGCCUGAGAGGGUGACCGGCCACAUUGGGACUGGGAUACGGCCCAGACUCCUACGGGAGGCAGCAGUGGAGAAUAGUGCACAAUGGGCGGAAGCCUGAUGCAGCAACGCCGCGUGCGGGAUGACGGCCGUCGGGUUGUAAACCGCGUUCGCCUGUGACGAAGCGUGAGUGACGGUAAUGGGUAAAGAAGCACCGGCUAACUACGUG
Molecule: ribosomal RNA, 468 nt
Filed under: uncultured bacterium
Lineage: Bacteria
Description: partial 16S ribosomal RNA
Rfam family: Bacterial small subunit ribosomal RNA
Source: RNAcentral